This 559-nucleotide ribosomal RNA is filed under the name uncultured bacterium. RNAcentral describes it as "partial 16S ribosomal RNA". It matches the Rfam family "Bacterial small subunit ribosomal RNA", at positions 355 to 924 of the family's 1533-position model. The record is from RNAcentral.
UGGGGAAUAUUGCACAAUGGGCGCAAGCCUGAUGCAGCGACGCCGCGUGAGGGAUGACGGCCUUCGGGUUGUAAACCUCUUUCAGCAGGGACGAAGCGCGAGUGACGGUACCUGCAGAAGAAGCACCGGCCAACUACGUGCCAGCAGCCGCGGUAAUACGUAGGGUGCGAGCGUUGUCCGGAAUUACUGGGCGUAAAGAGCUCGUAGGCGGUUUGUCGCGUCGUCUGUGAAAUUCUGCAGCUUAACUGCAGGCGUGCAGGCGAUACGGGCAGACUUGAGUACUACAGGGGAGACUGGAAUUCCUGGUGUAGCGGUGAAAUGCGCAGAUAUCAGGAGGAACACCGGUGGCGAAGGCGGGUCUCUGGGUAGUAACUGACGCUGAGGAGCGAAAGCGUGGGUAGCGAACAGGAUUAGAUACCCUGGUAGUCCACGCCGUAAACGGUGGGUACUAGGUGUGGGUUCCAUUUCACGGGAUCCGUGCCGUAGCUAACGCAUUAAGUACCCCGCCUGGGGAGUACGGCCGUAAGGCUAAAACUCAAAUGAAUUGACGGGGUCAUAG